GGAAGUAAAACUCGUAACAAGGUCUCCGUUGGUGAACCAGCGGAGGGAUCAUUAUCGAGUUUAUAACUCCCAAACCCUAUGUGAACUUACCACUUGUUGCUUCGGCGCGCGCUUCGGUGCCGCCGAGGACACUUAAACUCUUUGUUUUUAUAAGCAUUUCUGAGUGGCCGAAAGGCAAAAUACAAAUGAAUCAAAACUUUCAACAACGGAUCUCUUGGUUCUG
RNAcentral lists this unclassified non-coding RNA (223 nucleotides) under plant metagenome. Its description in RNAcentral is "partial contains small subunit ribosomal RNA, internal transcribed spacer 1, and 5.8S ribosomal RNA". The stretch from base 1 to 54 matches the Rfam family "Eukaryotic small subunit ribosomal RNA", at positions 1778 to 1831 of the family's 1831-position model. The record is from RNAcentral.